Molecule: ribosomal RNA, 440 nt
Filed under: uncultured bacterium
Lineage: Bacteria
Description: partial 16S ribosomal RNA
Rfam family: Bacterial small subunit ribosomal RNA
Source: RNAcentral
CCUACGGGAGGCAGCAGUGGGGGAUAUUGCACAAUGGGGGGAACCCUGAUGCAGCGACGCCGCGUGGGUGAAGAAGCGCCUCGGCGCGUAAAGCCCUGUCAGCAGGGAGGAAAAUGACGGUACCUGAAGCAGAAGCCCCGGCUAACUACGUGCCAGCAGCCGCGGUAAUACGGAGGGGGCAAGCGUUAUCCGGAUUUACUGGGUGUAAAGGGGGCGGAGACGGCGAAGCAAGCCAGGAGUGAAAGCCCGGGGCCCAACCCCGGGACUGCUCUUGGAACUGCGUGGCUGGAGUGCAGGAGGGGGAGGCGGAAUUCCUGGUGUAGCGGUGAAAUGCGUAGAUAUCAGGAGGAACACCGGUGGCGAAGGCGGCCCGCUGGACUGCAACUGACGUUGAGGCGCGAAAGCGUGGGGAGCAAACAGGAUUAGAUACCCCAGUAGUC